RNAcentral lists this ribosomal RNA (22 nucleotides) under Gagea dschungarica. RNAcentral's name for it is "partial 26S ribosomal RNA". The record is from RNAcentral. Lineage: Eukaryota; Viridiplantae; Streptophyta; Magnoliopsida; Liliales; Liliaceae.
GUGACCCCAGGUCAGGCGGGGA